Passer domesticus (house sparrow) is the source of this 1009-nucleotide long non-coding RNA. RefSeq lists it as uncharacterized. NCBI's taxonomy places the organism in Eukaryota, Metazoa, Chordata, Aves, Passeriformes, Passeridae. The transcript is spliced from 3 exons. The record is from RefSeq and is a predicted model, not a curated record.
AAAGAGUUGUAGUCUUGUUUUUCCCAAACAUAAUUAAAAGUGACCGUUUGAAGUAUUUUUCCACAAGGCUCUGUCAUUCUCAGCCAGCAAUUGUCAAGCCUAUUAGGAAGGGGAACCUAGAAGGCCAAAGAAUUCUCUGCCUUUUUUUUCCUGCUUGCUGCCUGUGAUGUUUGAUCGAAGGCAGCAAUAGAGCUCUGUAUCCCAGAGCCACAUUAUGGAGCCUGACCAAUGUGUUUGGAUUCUUGCAGCCACCCCAGGCACUUCAGCAUCCAGUGCUCCACCUGGCACUGCUGGUGCAGCAAUAACAGCCUCCAGCUCAGCCCGUAACACACCUGAGGAAGAGCAGUCACCAGCAGUGGAUCUUGCCUUUGCUGUGGAGCAAAUGAUCCGGGAGAUCAGGAGAUCCCUAUCUGAAAGGUCUCCCUCUGCCCAGGGCAAUAUUAAUGCUGUGCCUGAGUCUUCAGGAGGUGAGCCUGUGGACAGAGCUGCAGCAGAGGAAGCUUCAUCUGGCACGGAGAGCUGCAGGAACAGUUCCCCAGAGCCCGAGGAGCCUGAUCACAUGUGACCGACCUCUCCAGGAGGGCUGGCCUGUGUGGCAGGAAGAGACAGAGGGAGAGCCUGGAACAUCGGGCAAGUUGAAUUCCUCUGUCUCUAGUUAUAUUUAUAGAUGUAUAUAGUUAUGUUUAUUUAUCUAGGUAGUUGUAUUUAUAGAUUUAUGUGAUUAUAUUUAUCUAUAUAGAUAGAGAUCUGUACAGUUAAUUUAUUUUUGGUUUUACUGGUAUAGCGUUAUAGCUUUAGAUAUGUUGUUGUAGUUAUAGAUGUGCACAGGUGCACUUAUACCUGUGUAUAGUUACAUUUACAUAUAUACAUUUGUAAAUGCCUAUUUAUAUUUGUAUAUGGGGGUUUAGCUACAUAGAUUGAUAUUUAUAUACACCUUUUUUUAACCUCUUGCCCUGUUCUGCUUCCUCGCUCACCUCUUGCUUUCCCCCUGUGCCCACUGUGUCCCCUC